CCCCCAUCUGAGAGAUGGCUUCCCUGCCUUGGUAGGGGAGAGGAAAGUCCGGACUCCACCUGGCAAAUUCAGUCGCUAACGGCGACCGUGUCGGCAGAAAUGUCAGCAUAGGACCAUUGCCACAGAGACAAUACUAGCCGCGGAGCGACUAGCCUGAGCGAAAUAACCCAUCGACUUCGCUCAGGGUCGCCGCUCCGCGGCGAAAGGUGAAAAGCCCCGUUCAGCGGGGAGGGCCCUGAGUGAUUAGGUGCCCUCGGUUAAAUUCUGGACGGAGCAAGUUGGGAUGGGAAGAGUGGAUCAAGCCGCCAGGGGCUCCAGUCUUGCCCAACGCUAGAGCUUCGCGGCAACGCGGAGUCGAGAUAGAUCAUCUCCUCGACAGAAUCCGGCUUAUGAUGAUGGGGAAACU
RNAcentral lists this RNase P RNA (406 nucleotides) under bacterium. RNAcentral's name for it is "RNase P RNA component class A". It matches the Rfam family "Bacterial RNase P class A". From Rfam's summary of the family: Ribonuclease P (RNase P) is a ubiquitous endoribonuclease, found in archaea, bacteria and eukarya as well as chloroplasts and mitochondria. The record is from RNAcentral.